AAAAUCUAAUAGUGCCUAUCACUAUUGAUGCACUUCAAUGAUUUGAAUCACAUAAUCAGCUAAACAAACAAGAAAAGCAGACUACAAAGUGUUUUCAGCCAGUUUCUUGCUAUUCAUCAGCGCACCAUAAAGUUGCAAAGAAGAAAUGAAACACAGAAAAGGACCAGAAGAAGGAAUUCUGGUAAAACGAUAAAGCUCUUUGUACCACAAAAGGAAAACCAAAAGCAAUAACAACUGACAUUCAUGGAUGGUUUACUAAGAGAAAUUUACCUGGUGCAAUUCCAU
This 285-nucleotide unclassified non-coding RNA is filed under the name Hevea brasiliensis (rubber tree). Lineage: Eukaryota; Viridiplantae; Streptophyta; Magnoliopsida; Malpighiales; Euphorbiaceae. The record is from RNAcentral.